Molecule: ribosomal RNA, 466 nt
Filed under: uncultured bacterium
Lineage: Bacteria
Description: partial 16S ribosomal RNA
Rfam family: Bacterial small subunit ribosomal RNA
Source: RNAcentral
GAUGAACGCUGGCGGCGUGCUUAACACAUGCAAGUCGAACGAUGAAGCCCAGCUUGCUGGGUGGUUUAGUGGCGAACGGGUGAGUAACACGCGAGUAACCUGCCCUUGACUCUGGGAUAAGCCUGGGAAACUGGGUCUAAUACUGGAUAUGACUUCUCAUCGCAUGGAGGGGGGUGGAAAGAUUUAUUGGUCUUGGAUGGACUCGCGGCCUAUCAGCUUGUUGGUGAGGUAAUGGCUCACCAAGGCGACGACGGGUAGCCGGCCUGAGAGGGUGACCGGCCACACUGGGACUGAGACACGGCCCAGACUCCUACGGGAGGCAGCAGUGGGGAAUAUUGCACAAUGGGCGCAAGCCUGAUGCAGCGACGCCGCGUGAGGGAUGACGGCCUUCGGGUUGUAAACCUCUUUCAGUAGGGAAGAAGCGAGAGUGACGGUACCUGCAGAAGAAGCGCCGGCUAACUACGUG